CAGAGUCAGUCUUCAGGAGACUUUCCAACCAAAUUGGAAUUCCCAGAAAAAAAUUAGGUCAUUUCAGAAGAUUAAUAAAAGAUACAACUAAGUUCCUGUAGAAGGAUCUAAAAUUUAUAAAUGAAUUAUAACUUAUUCCAGAUAUUUUACAAUAAAUGAUAAGAGAUUCUUCAAAACAUUUGGAAUAUAGAAGUGUAGCUUAAUGGGCUCUAACUUAUUCUCUGAAAUAAUUUGUUUCUGAAAUGGAUAUUUAAAUUCAUCUAAC
Molecule: long non-coding RNA, 265 nt
Filed under: Bos taurus (domestic cattle)
Lineage: Eukaryota; Metazoa; Chordata; Mammalia; Artiodactyla; Bovidae
Description: long non-coding RNA NONBTAT000533
Source: RNAcentral